Molecule: ribosomal RNA, 273 nt
Filed under: uncultured bacterium
Lineage: Bacteria
Description: partial 16S ribosomal RNA
Rfam family: Bacterial small subunit ribosomal RNA
Source: RNAcentral
AUACGGAGGGUGCAAGCGUUACUCGGAAUCACUGGGCGUAAAGGACGCGUAGGCGGGUUGGUAAGUCAGGUGUGAAAUCCUACAGCUUAACUGUAGAACUGCACUUGAAACUACCAACCUAGAGUAUGGGGGGGGAGAUGGAAUUAGUGGUGUAGGGGUAAAAUCCGUAGAUAUCACUAGGAAUACCGAAAGCGAAGGCGAUCUCCUGGAACAAUACUGACGCUAAGGCGUGAAAGCGUGGGGAGCAAACGGGAUUAGAAACCCCAGUAGUCC